RNAcentral lists this ribosomal RNA (697 nucleotides) under Acidovorax sp. RNAcentral describes it as "bacterial SSU rRNA". It matches the Rfam family "Bacterial small subunit ribosomal RNA", at positions 87 to 780 of the family's 1533-position model. Lineage: Bacteria; Pseudomonadati; Pseudomonadota; Betaproteobacteria; Burkholderiales; Comamonadaceae. The record is from RNAcentral.
GCUGACGAGUGGCGAACGGGUGAGUAAUACAUCGGAACGUGCCCGAUCGUGGGGGAUAACGGAGCGAAAGCUUUGCUAAUACCGCAUACGAUCUACGGAUGAAAGCAGGGGACCGCAAGGCCUUGCGCGGACGGAGCGGCCGAUGGCAGAUUAGGUAGUUGGUGGGAUAAAAGCUUACCAAGCCGACGAUCUGUAGCUGGUCUGAGAGGACGACCAGCCACACUGGGACUGAGACACGGCCCAGACUCCUACGGGAGGCAGCAGUGGGGAAUUUUGGACAAUGGGCGAAAGCCUGAUCCAGCCAUGCCGCGUGCAGGAUGAAGGCCUUCGGGUUGUAAACUGCUUUUGUACGGAACGAAAAGACUUCUUCUAAUACAGGAGGUCCAUGACGGUACCGUAAGAAUAAGCACCGGCUAACUACGUGCCAGCAGCCGCGGUAAUACGUAGGGUGCAAGCGUUAAUCGGAAUUACUGGGCGUAAAGCGUGCGCAGGCGGUUAUAUAAGACAGAUGUGAAAUCCCCGGGCUCAACCUGGGAACUGCAUUUGUGACUGUAUAGCUAGAGUACGGUAGAGGGGGAUGGAAUUCCGCGUGUAGCAGUGAAAUGCGUAGAUAUGCGGAGGAACACCGAUGGCGAAGGCAAUCCCCUGGACCUGUACUGACGCUCAUGCACGAAAGCGUGGGGAGCAAACAGGAUUA